GGUGGGAAAUGGGUGGGGAGGGAAUGGUUGCAGGGUGGGGGGAGGGAAUUUGGGGUGGGAACUCUUUGGGUGGGAACUUGGGGUGGGAAUUCUUGGGGUGCUGGGAUCUUUGUGAGGUUGGAAAUGAAAUGGCUGUACUGUGAUAUUGUUGAGGUGGGGGGAGGGAAUUUGGGGUGGGAAUUCUUGAGGUGGGAACUCUUGGGGCACUGGGAUCUUUCUGAGGUUGGAAAUGAAAUGGCUGUACUCUGAUGUUGUUGGGGUGGGAAUUUGGGGGGUGGGGAACUGCUGGGGCGAGAAAUGGCUGCCGUGGGAGAUGGUUGGCAUCAAAAAUGAUUGGACUCCGUAACUGCUGGCAUUGAAGAUGGGGGGAGGGGGAGGGAAUUCUGUGGGGUGGCAAUUCUGGGGGAGAAAUUGUACUCUGAUCACGUUACACUCCCAAGUUGUUGGAAUUUGGAGGAAGGAAUUGUUGGGGUGGGAAUGUGGGGGGCUGGGAGGUAUUUUGCAGAGGGAGG
RNAcentral lists this long non-coding RNA (512 nucleotides) under Gallus gallus (chicken). Its description in RNAcentral is "lncRNA (ENSGALG00010028639.1)". Lineage: Eukaryota; Metazoa; Chordata; Aves; Galliformes; Phasianidae. The record is from RNAcentral.